CACACCCACGCCCAUUGCCAUCUGCUGGUCGCCGCCGUCCCUAGAUCCCCUUGCGCCGCUGGGCUGUGGAUCCCCGAACGCCGCCGCCAGGCAGUGGAGCCCCGCGCGCCGCCGCGGACCUCCACAUCCAUCCUCCGCCAUGGAUCCUACGUUCCCCGCCGCCCCUAUCUGCCACCGCCGUGGCCCCAGCUUCCCGGCGCACCAUCCACCGCCGCCAUUGUCAUGCGUCGCUGCCGCCCGAUAUGAUGAGGCGCCGCCGCCUCCCAAGCCACUGCCUAGCUCCAGCAUCUCCGCGCGUCCAUGCCACCGGACGGUGAGGGAGACCCGACCGGCCGCCCGCGUUCUGCUGUCCUUCUACAACCUGGCACACAUCGUCUAACAAGUAACAGGUGACAUGGCGAGGUUAUCUGCUGGCUGGCUCUACUCUUCUGAAGAUGGAGAUUAGUAGUAUGGGCACACAUUGUUCUGCUAUCCUUCUACGACCCUGCCUCCACUGGGCUCGGCCUGGAGCAACUUCUCUGAAUUUCCCGACGUGGCCGCAUCACUUCUGAGACCCCGCGCGCCUUGACUUUCCCAACCUCAUCCAUUCUGCCUCCGUUGUACCCUAUUUUUUUGUGAGGGACGCUCUCCCCUAUUAGUUGAACUUCUCGCGAGGGCCGCCUUGACCUUUCCCGGGACGGUUAGAGCAUACGACAACCACAAAAAUCGUCAUCGACUGAGAGAUGGAGCACCUAAUUUUCCAGUUCCUGGAAAUCUUAUGGAGUUUGUUUCUCGAUUAACUUGCGUGGACCUUCAAUCGUUCAUCCUAAACCUACCACCUCCUGAGCCUGAAUGGAAAAUGUCUCAGUGCAAGUGUGUGCAGUACCAAGAAGUUCUACCAUGGGUCUACGUCAAGUUCAUAUUUUGUGUUCAGUAAAAAAAUCUUAGUGCGAGUGUGUGCAGUACCUGGAAGUUUUACUACAGGUCUACGCCAAGUUCAAUGACAUUGCCGCCGGCAAAAUGUUCAGACAAUGUGGGUGACUAUGUCGUGUGUUCAAAGCAAUUUGUUUCAGCAAGGCCGAAGUUUAUCGUGUGUUCUUGGGUCGAAGUUCCUAUAAAGAAAUGGCAGAAGGUCGAUUGUGAAUGUGAUCCCACCUUGUAACAUAUGCUCAUACGCAUGCGGUGAUUCAGAAAUGUUGCCGAGGACAGAGAGUGGAGACGUCAAGGAGCCACUGCGUGAGCUAGUUACAUCACGAUUUGGACCAUGUUCCCAACUUGCAUGCGAUACAUUGCUUAGCUGUCAGCAGCCACAUGUUUACGUGGUUGACAUCAACAAAAACUUUAGUUUUUUGUGGACGUUCUGUAUUAACAUGUUUUAUUUGGACGUUCUAGACUAACUACCGAUGUUACAUCAUUGCUGCUCAAUUUCUAGUCUGUGUACACAUGGCAAGCACACUGGUAGCACCACACACACAUUUCUCCCUGUGCACGUGUGGGAUUUUUCCCUAAUAACUAGCAUGUUUGGUGAAAUGUGGGAAGUCCUGCUACUACCAACAGACAAGGAAAAACGGGAUUUUUCCCUAAUAACUAGCAUGUUUGGUGAAAUGUGUGAAGUCCUGCUACUACCAACAGACAAGGAAAAACGGGAUUUUUCCCUAAUAACUAGCAUGUUUGGUGAAAUGUGUGAAGUCCUGCUACUAGCAACAGAGAAGGAAAAACGCUACUGCACCUCAUUUUGAGAUAAAUAGAAUGCAUUUAGUCCAUAGUGUGUCGCUGCCCAUUUCUUUUAUAAGAUCGUCGUGUGUGUGUGCGUUCGGUGUGCUCGUGCUAUGGGUAUGUCUUUUCCUUUAUUUUUUGAAUAAACUGGAAGUUCAUACAUACAAAAAAUCGAAGUCCAAAUAUCUUCGGUAUAUGUUUUGGAAAAGCUCAGCAGUUAUUUCACCGUUUCUAAAAAACA
Molecule: long non-coding RNA, 1936 nt
Organism: Aegilops tauschii subsp. strangulata
Lineage: Eukaryota; Viridiplantae; Streptophyta; Magnoliopsida; Poales; Poaceae
Source: RefSeq, a predicted model, not a curated record